UGCAGUCGAGCGAUGGGUUAAGAGCUUUGCCUUAUGACUUUCGAGUGGGACAGGUGAGAAAAAUGUGUGUAACCUGGCCUUAUGACUGGGAUUAACCCCGGAAACCGGGGCUAAUACCGGAUAACAUUUUGAACCCCAAGGAUCGAAAUUUUCAGGCCUCUUCCGCUGUCAUUUAUGCAUGUGCCCUCGUCUCAUUAGCUAGUUGGUGAGGUAACGGCUCAACAAUGCCACGAUGCUUAGACAACCUGAGAGGGUGAUCGGCCACUCUGAGACUGAGACAACUCCCACACUCCGCCGGGAGGGGA
Molecule: ribosomal RNA, 305 nt
Filed under: Bacillus cereus
Lineage: Bacteria; Bacillati; Bacillota; Bacilli; Caryophanales; Bacillaceae
Description: bacterial SSU rRNA
Rfam family: Bacterial small subunit ribosomal RNA (bases 48-301)
Source: RNAcentral